Molecule: long non-coding RNA, 979 nt
Filed under: Musa acuminata (dwarf banana)
Lineage: Eukaryota; Viridiplantae; Streptophyta; Magnoliopsida; Zingiberales; Musaceae
Description: long non-coding RNA (MACU_LNC007501)
Source: RNAcentral
UCUACUGUUAACAGGACUUAUACUAUCAACUAGGAAAUCCACUAUCAACUCCGGGAUCUAAGUCCACCUUUCCUGUCUUGCCUCUAAGCCUUUCACUAAUGCUUUUGCUUCUAACUACCCUGUCGAUCAGUCCAUCCUUACUUGCUUGACUUGCUUUUAAACAGAGACUUAUUAUAUAGUUAGUCUGCCCUUACGUGAUGAAAUUCAAAUCUUAUAGCCCUAACUCCUACUGAUAAGAAGAAAGUACAUACUACCGGGCAUCCACAUCUGUAUUGACACUGAAACUCCUAUCUAUACAUCAGUACGCCUCUACUGCCUUUCAUUCAUUUAUUGGUAAAACGGAAUCUCAUCUCUUGGCCCUUUUCACCGUUAGGUUUCUCAUAUCUCUCUUCGCCCCUUCGAUCCUGCCUUGCCCGUUCAUAUCACUCUGACUAUUAGAACUUUCUCUCGUUCUUUGGCUUACGUAUCAGACUGACGGAACUACCUUUAUAUGAUAAUAAUGUGAAUUCGACUAACGCUAACAACCCUUUUACUUGGAACUGGGCAUGAAACCAAUAAGUAAGAGACUUCAACAAAUAAGUAAGAUACAUCGGAGUGGGAGCUCACACUUAUCCUUGUCCCAGGAAUCCCAGCUACUUACCUAUAACUAUAAGAAGAAAAACAACCCCAAAACAGAAAUAAACCAAGAAGUAUGGGCCUUACUCAUCUAGGCACAUGCCAAGCCUUACGACCUGCACCAGCUUAAGGGCCUUACUCUGAAGUUGAUUCCCUAGGCUAGCGCCAAACUGACACACCUGUUCCUGCACUACAUUCCCGGUUCGAUUCUUGCUAUUGGUAGCUCAAUCCCCUAUUGUUUCGAUCUUUUGUUGUGAUGUGAUGACCGUAUCAGUGUCUACAGACUGAAGUGCAAGAGGUGAGUAUGAUUGAUAGCUGAGUAGUCCCAUUAGAAUAUAAUAAGCGUUGUGCCCUUAAGUAAUUG